This 75-nucleotide transfer RNA is filed under the name Operophtera brumata (winter moth). It matches the Rfam family "tRNA". Rfam says of the family: Transfer RNA (tRNA) molecules are approximately 80 nucleotides in length. Their secondary structure includes four short double-helical elements and three loops (D, anti-codon, and T loops). The record is from Rfam by way of RNAcentral. Lineage: Eukaryota; Metazoa; Arthropoda; Insecta; Lepidoptera; Geometridae.
CGGCCAGUGGCGUAGCGGUCUAAUGCAUCUCCUUAUCAAGGAUGAAGGUCAUGGGUUCAAAUCCCGUUUGGUGGU